AUUGAACGCUGGCGGAAUGCUUUACACAUGCAAGUCGAACGGCAGCACGGACUUCGGUCUGGUGGCGAGUGGCGAACGGGUGAGUAAUACAUCGGAACGUGCCCAAUCGUGGGGGAUAACGUAGCGAAAGCUACGCUAAUACCGCAUACGAUCUAAGGAUGAAAGCGGGGGAUCGCAAGACCUCGCGCGAUUGGAGCGGCCGAUGGCAGAUUAGGUAGUUGGUAGGGAAAAGGCCUACCAAGCCGACGAACUGUAGCUGGGCUGAGAGGAUGAGCCGCCACACGGGGAAGGAGCACCGGAGCAGACUGCUGCGGGAGGCAGCAGUGGGGAAUGUUGGACAAUGGCCGCGAGUCUGACCCAGCAGUUUCGCGUGCAGGAUGAAGGACCUCGGAUUGUAACCUGCUUUUGUACAGAGCGAAAAGGCUCUGGUUAAUACCUAGGGCUCAUGACGGUACUGUAAGAAUAAGCACCGGCUAACUACGUGCCAUCCGCCGCCGUAA
Molecule: ribosomal RNA, 500 nt
Filed under: uncultured bacterium
Lineage: Bacteria
Description: partial 16S ribosomal RNA
Rfam family: Bacterial small subunit ribosomal RNA
Source: RNAcentral